Molecule: transfer RNA, 76 nt
Filed under: Nitrospirota bacterium
Lineage: Bacteria; Pseudomonadati; Nitrospirota
Also listed under: 1 other name
Description: Nitrospirae bacterium tRNA-Thr
Rfam family: tRNA
About the family: Transfer RNA (tRNA) molecules are approximately 80 nucleotides in length. Their secondary structure includes four short double-helical elements and three loops (D, anti-codon, and T loops).
Source: RNAcentral
GCCGGGAUAGCACAGCUGGUAGUGCAGCCGAUUCGUAAUCGGCAGGUCGACGGUUCGAAUCCGUUUCCUGGCUCCA